GUAGGGAAUAUUGCGCAAUGGGGGAAACCCUGACGCAGCGACGCCGCGUGAGUGAUGAAGGCCUUCGGGUCGUAAAGCUCUGUUGCAGGGGAAUAAAAAAAUGAAGGUACCCUGUGAGGAAGGAUCGGCUAACUUCGUGCCAGCAGCCGCGGUAAGACGAGGGAUCCUAGCGUUGCUCGGAAUCAUUGGGCGUAAAGAGGGCGUAGGUGGCUUGAUAAGUCAGGUGUGAAAGCCCAGGGCUCAACCCUGGAAGUGCAUUUGAUACUGCUGAGCUUGAGUGUCGGAGAGGUUACCGGAAUACCUGGUGUAGUGGUGAAAUACGUAGAUAUCAGGUGGAACACCGGAGGCGAAGGCGGGUAACUGGACGAACACUGACACUGAGGCCCGAAAGCGUGGGGAUCAAACAGGAUUAGAUACCCCGGUAGUCC
RNAcentral lists this ribosomal RNA (428 nucleotides) under uncultured bacterium. RNAcentral describes it as "partial 16S ribosomal RNA". It matches the Rfam family "Bacterial small subunit ribosomal RNA", at positions 354 to 796 of the family's 1533-position model. The record is from RNAcentral.